GAUGAACGCUAGCUACAGGCUUAACACAUGCAAGUCGAGGGGAAACGAUGAGAGAGCUUGCUCUCUUAGGCGUCGACCGGCGCACGGGUGAGUAACGCGUAUCCAACCUACCCAUUACAGGGGGAUAACCUUGCGAAAGUAAGACUAAUACCCCAUGGCAUUUUAUGGUGGCAUCAUUAUAGGAUUAAAGAUUUAUUGGUAAUGGAUGGGGAUGCGUCUGAUUAGCUUGUUGGCGGGGUAACGGCCCACCAAGGCAACGAUCAGUAGGGGUUCUGAGAGGAAGGUCCCCCACAUUGGAACUGCGACACGGUCCAAACUCCUACGGGGGGCAGCGGUGAGGAAUAUUGGUCAAUGGGCGAGAGCUUGAACCAGCCAAGUAGCGUGCAGGAUGCCGGCCCUAUGGGUUGUAAGCUGCUUUUAUAGGGGAAUAAAGUGAGCUACGUGUAGUUUAUUGCAUGUACCCUAUGAAUAAGGACCGGCUAAUUCCGUG
This 490-nucleotide ribosomal RNA is filed under the name uncultured bacterium. RNAcentral's name for it is "partial 16S ribosomal RNA". It matches the Rfam family "Bacterial small subunit ribosomal RNA", at positions 28 to 507 of the family's 1533-position model. The record is from RNAcentral.